ACUCUCGUAGCUCAGCGGAAGAGCGAGGGUCUUCGAAACCCGAGGUCGUGGGUUCAAAUCCUACCGGGAGUA
Molecule: transfer RNA, 72 nt
Filed under: Verrucomicrobiales bacterium
Lineage: Bacteria; Pseudomonadati; Verrucomicrobiota; Verrucomicrobiia; Verrucomicrobiales
Description: tRNA-Arg
Rfam family: tRNA
About the family: Transfer RNA (tRNA) molecules are approximately 80 nucleotides in length.
Source: RNAcentral